RNAcentral lists this ribosomal RNA (614 nucleotides) under uncultured bacterium. RNAcentral describes it as "bacterial SSU rRNA". It matches the Rfam family "Bacterial small subunit ribosomal RNA", at positions 338 to 944 of the family's 1533-position model. The record is from RNAcentral.
CCUACGGGAGGCAGCAGUGGGGAAUUUUGGACAAUGGGCGCAAGCCUGAUCCAGCAAUGCCGCGUGAGUGAAGAAGGCCUUCGGGUUGUAAAGCUCUUUUGUCAGGGAAGAAACGGCAGUUUCUAAUACAGAUUGCUAAUGACGGUACCUGAAGAAUAAGCACCGGCUAACUACGUGCCAGCAGCCGCGGUAAUACGUAGGGUGCAAGCGUUAAUCGGAAUUACUGGGCGUAAAGCGUGCGCAGGCGGUUUUGUAAGUUUGUCGUGAAAUCCCCGGGCUCAACCUGGGAAUGGCGAUGAAGACUGCAAGGCUAGAAUCUGGCAGAGGGGGGUAGAAUUCCACGUGUAGCAGUGAAAUGCGUAGAGAUGUGGAGGAACACCGAUGGCGAAGGCAGCCCCCUGGGUCAAGAUUGACGCUCAUGCACGAAAGCGUGGGGAGCAAACAGGAUUAGAUACCCUGGUAGUCCACGCCCUAAACGAUGUCUACUAGUUGUCGGGUUUUAAUUAACCUUGGUAACGCAGCUAACGCGUGAAGUAGACCGCCUGGGGAUCGGUCGCAAGNUUAAAACUCAAAUGAGUAGAGNGNGAGAGNGCGAGACGACGACGAGGAGGAGG